Molecule: ribosomal RNA, 433 nt
Filed under: uncultured bacterium
Lineage: Bacteria
Description: bacterial SSU rRNA
Rfam family: Bacterial small subunit ribosomal RNA
Source: RNAcentral
UGGGGAAUAUUGCACAAUGGGCGCAAGCCUGAUGCAGCGACGCCGCGUGGGGGAUGACGGCCUUCGGGUUGUAAACCUCUUUCACCAUCGACGAAGCCCUUCGGGGUGACGGUAGGUGGAGAAGAAGCACCGGCCAACUACGUGCCAGCAGCCGCGGUAAUACGUAGGGUGCGAGCGUUGUCCGGAAUUACUGGGCGUAAAGAGCUCGUAGGUGGUUUGUCGCGUUGUUCGUGAAAUGCCACAGCUUAACUGUGGGCGUGCGGGCGAUACGGGCAGACUGGAGUACUGCAGGGGAGACUGGAAUUCCUGGUGUAGCGGUGGAAUGCGCAGAUAUCAGGAGGAACACCGGUGGCGAAGGCGGGUCUCUGGGCAGUAACUGACGCUGAGGAGCGAAAGCGUGGGGAGCGAACAGGAUUAGAUACCCCCGUAGUCC